CACGAUGGUGGAUAUGCUUCUGGAGGUGGUGAAGGUGGUGGAGCUGGAGGUGGCCAUGCUGGUGGAGGAUAUGCUGGAGGAGGUGGUGGUGGAAGUGGAGCUGGAGGUGCUCAUGCUGGCGGAGAACAUGAUGGUGGAUAUGCUGCUGGAGGUGGUGAAGGUGGUGGUAGUGGAUAUGGUGGUGCAGGGUCAGCAGAUGGUGGAUAUGCUGCUGGAGGUGGUGAAGGUGGUGGUAGUGGAUAUGGUGGUGCAGGGUCAGCA
RNAcentral lists this unclassified non-coding RNA (261 nucleotides) under Hevea brasiliensis (rubber tree). The record is from RNAcentral. Lineage: Eukaryota; Viridiplantae; Streptophyta; Magnoliopsida; Malpighiales; Euphorbiaceae.